This 3608-nucleotide long non-coding RNA is filed under the name Canis lupus familiaris (dog). RNAcentral describes it as "lncRNA (ENSCAFG00845020450.1)". Lineage: Eukaryota; Metazoa; Chordata; Mammalia; Carnivora; Canidae. The record is from RNAcentral.
CCCAGAACAGAGCCAAAUUGUUCAAGCUGCGUGAAGAAGAAAGAAAAAACGAGUUGGGGGGGGGGGGGUGGCGGUGGUGCUGGUUGAGGGAAGAAGAAAAGAUUUCCUUGUUGGUUCGAUUUCUCUGGAGAUAUUUGGAGGAUAACACAGCAAUUUUUUUUUUUUCUUUUAGGAGGGGCACCCGAGAGCAAAAAACGAGAGAGCCGAGUUUUAUCGGCCAGGCGGCCCGUGCUUAAAGGUGACAUUCGAGAGAACAAUCGCUAGGUUGUUUGGUCACCUUUGCUGGUAUGAAUGAAGCUUAAGAAAAGCUGUCUUUGGAUUGCUACUAAUAGUCAUCUUCAUCAUGCCUGCUCUCCCUCUCUCUCUCCCUCUCCCUCGCCCUCUCUCUCUCUCUCUCUCUCUCUCUUUCUCGGUUCCCUUAUGAAAUAAAGGCACACAGGUAAUAAACAAAGCACUAUAAAAGAUCAGAUUGACGUGUUCUGUGGCUCAUUCAAUGUCAGGAGCAAGCCUCCUGCGCUCCGCUGCUAGUGCUUGCGGCACCAAAAGCUGGGCCAGGACCGAGGGAUGGUGGUGGGAUGAGGCUAGACCCCCUUCACCCAUCCUGGAACCUUGCUGAAUUCAUCAGGGCCACGGCCUGGGUCCGCUAACCCACACCUGACGCCCGAGGGACAAAGGACAAGAUGGCAGGGUAGAGACCCUUGGAUUUGCUCCUUUUGGAUUUUUGGAUUCGGACCUGACUUUCUUUGUCAAUCCUCAUGCCCGAUCCAGUGGUCAAAGAAGGAGGAGACUCAACAGCUGUUUCUUUCUCCCUUCAUUUUUCCAACAAAGAAGCUUCAUGAGAACAUUAACACCGAAAGAAAAUUGUGUUCACUGCAGGACUUUUCAAGGAUCGGUGGAAAGAUUUAUAAGCUGCAGACUGCGCUCAGCAAGACCUCACCAAAUGGAGGAAAAUUAAAGAGAGAAAUGGUCCAUGGUGUAUUCUUAACCGCCAUAAAUUGGCGUCAUUUUGGCCACCAUCCAGGAGAGAGACACCAGCCUACAGAAACAGAGAAAGAAGAUCAGAAGCCGAUGGAAGGAAGGGAGGUUGGUCGUGUUGCUGUCCUCAGGAAGGUAGAGGGAAACCGAGCAGGAAUUAACAGGAGUGAAUAGUCAGCAAGGGUCUUUUACAGGAAAUAAAUCUAUCUACUGGGGUUUUCCAACAAAUGCAGAAUUCAGCGUAGCAGAUCAAAAGAAAGAAAGGAAGGAAGGAAGAAAGAAAAAGAAAAAGAAAGAAGAGAAUAAUUAUGUCCAGAAUUGUCCCAAUUGUCCUGCUCAGUGCAAACACACACACACACACACACACACACACACACACACUCACACACACACCCUGCAGCCUAUAAUCCUCCCUCAUGCCCCUAUCCUGUUGAUCUUUCUUCACUUAAAAAUUAUCGGCAAAGAAUUUAUUCAUUUGGGAGAAUUCCAGGCACUACAUUUAUGUUCAGUUCAAAUGAAAUGGGAUCCAGACUUUUCAAACUGUGCUGUUCUGCAGAUAAAACACAAAGGCAGGACCUCAUUAUCUGGAGACAUGGUCCUUUCUUUUUCCUGUUGCCUUUUGUUUCUAAGCAAUUUUAGGCUUGUUUGGAAAGUCUCAUAACAGGGGCAGAACAUUUUUCACCACAUCUAUUUCAGGAGGGUUUUUAGUUAGGAAUAAUGAAUUUACCUCUAAACAGAUGGAAGAGUUUUACUAAAGCUAGAAACGACACUUUUCCUAAUAUCCCCGAUAGGCUGAUCUUAAUCCUCUCAUUGUUAAAAAUGCUUGGUCUAUGAGAGUCUUAUUUAUGUGCCAAGUGUCUUUAUUAAAUCAUGAAAUUAACACAGAAAAAAAUCCUAUUACAAUGGGUUUCUGUAUAUGAUCAAAAGUUGUUCAUGGUCCUGCUGAUAGACUACUUAUUCCAAAAUUUAAAAAGGUGAAAUUCCAAUAGAGCCCAAUGCUUGGCUGAGGUUUUAAAAAUUCAUUGUAAAAUGGCCGGAGGGGUUACGAGGCCCCCAGCCAAGAAAAGGCCCACGUUUUAUCAAGGCAGUAGUCCCUAACAAAAAGAAAACUGUGAAAGAUAGGCCUCCCAUUCACCCAUACAAAUGAAUUCCUGGCAACAUUGUAAUAUGAUUUGACCUGUAGAAACACAACAAGUCUCUGAUAUCCACUUUGAUUUUUAAGAACCUAAGAGGCAAAUUCAAAGACAAAUUGCACUAGUGAAUCCAGGGUUGUGGGAUGCUAAAAGAGUUUAAAAAGUCAAGAGAAGCAGUUUGGUAUGUUUGUAUAUUGGAUUUUGAAAUUGAACUAAAAAUAUAUUUUUUUGAAUGCAGAAGUAGUACAUGUUCGUCACAGGAGAAAAAAUUCCCUCAAUACCCUUCUCAUUGAGAAAGUACACUUGUUUGGGGUUUCCAAACUCGAUUCUUGCCUUUAUAUGAAAAUGAGUGUUAAUGGCUCUGUGUUAGGGCUUAGUCUAGAAGCGCAGGUCCUGAUGGACAUUAGGAGGACCUAAAAAGAGAAAAAGAGAUCCAACUUGGAGGGGUCAAGGUCUGUGGCCUGUUAGGGGGACUUGGAGGGCUCUGUUAACCACCUAAGGGAAGGCAACAGGAGGUCCAGAUGAAGCAGAAGACACGGGAGGACCAUGCAUGAUGGAAGAUCUUAGGUAGAACCAACAGGUAGCAGACAAGUUGGGACAGACAUGGCUGAUGUCAGACAGAGAAACGGAGCCUGCAAAGGGCCUUGACCCCGGAGAUGCGUUUAAAAUCCUUUAGCCUUUCAAAGAUGGUUAACCCAAAUUACUUUUCUUGCUUGUUCCAGAUGCCUUAAUAUCUCAUACCAUUACCAAGGACCUGCCAUGUUAAAAAAUAAACAUUUGGGAAGCGAGGGCGAUUUUUCUCUUUUCUUUUUAAUUGCAAUUGUGAUGUGCUCAUGGCCUGACAUUACAUGAGGUCUGGCUUAGAUUAGCCCCUGGCUGAGAGAUCCCUGCUAAUUUAGUGACUGCAAUUAUGCCUGCCUCUAACCACGGUCUGCUUUGUGUGGGACAUGCCCUUGGAGUUGUUUUUCUCCACCAGAAGCAGUGGUUAUGUUGGCCCUCUAUACGUUUUUGCCCCAUUGGUGAGACAACUGGCUAGGAUUAGGGGUACGAUCUGUGACCCUGAAACAGAGUGAAACUAAUUGGCAGUGAGGGAGCUGAUUCCAUGUAGAGCGCGAGCACUGUAAGUCUCUCAUAAAAGACCCCAAGUGCCACAAGUGUGCACCUGCCUUCCAGCCCUAAUGAUUCUUCCAAUAAAAGAAGCAAAAAGGAACAAAAUACAAAUGUUUUUUGAACACCACUGCCUUUGCUUGGGGUCUCACGCAGCCACAGGAUGCAGGUAGGGGUAUGUGUGUCCCUGAGAAUCCAGGAUGGCCAGCAGCCUUUGCUUGCAACCUGCAGAGGGUGGCAAAGAGGAAACGUAGCAUAAUUUAGAGCAGAAAGGGUGGGUGAGUGGAUGAGGGGAGAGAGGCAGCAGGGGGCGGGGGUGUGUGGAUCUCCUCUCCUGCUCUAUUAAUCAACCGCAGAAGCUGCAACUUUAGGAUUUGCACAAUUGGACUCCAG